RNAcentral lists this ribosomal RNA (492 nucleotides) under uncultured bacterium. Its description in RNAcentral is "partial 16S ribosomal RNA". It matches the Rfam family "Bacterial small subunit ribosomal RNA", at positions 29 to 507 of the family's 1533-position model. The record is from RNAcentral.
AGUGAACGCUGGCGGUAGGCCUAACACAUGCAAGUCGAACGGCAGCACAGUAAGAGCUUGCUCUUACGGGUGGCGAGUGGCGGACGGGUGAGGAAUACAUCGGAAUCUACUUUUUCGUGGGGGAUAACGUAGGGAAACUUACGCUAAUACCGCAUACGACCUACGGGUGAAAGCAGGGGAUCUUCGGACCUUGCGCGAUUGAAUGAGCCGAUGUCGGAUUAGCUAGUUGGCGGGGUAAAGGCCCACCAAGGCGACGAUCCGUAGCUGGUCUGAGAGGAUGGUCAGCCACACUGGAACUGAGACACGGUCCAGACUCCUACGGGAGGCAGCAGUGGGGAAUAUUGGACAAUGGGCGCAAGCCUGAUCCAGCCAUACCGCGUGGGUGAAGAAGGCGUUCGGGUUGUAAAGCCCUUUUGUUGGGAAAGAACAGCAGCAGGUUAAUACCCCGCUGUUCUGACGGUAACCAAAGAAUAAGCACCGGCUAACUUCGUG